This 302-nucleotide long non-coding RNA is filed under the name Pongo abelii (Sumatran orangutan). RNAcentral's name for it is "lincRNA". Lineage: Eukaryota; Metazoa; Chordata; Mammalia; Primates; Hominidae. The record is from RNAcentral.
CAAUCCAGCCUGAAGGACUUAGCUCAUAGAUGUCUUCUGAAAUGUGGAAGAAAUACUUUCGUUUGUCGUAAAAGCUCAGCUGGAGAUUGGAGUCUGGACGAGGGAGGGGAGAAGAGGAGGACCUCAGGGAGAUUGUUUUGCUUAUUGGUGUUUAAUUAAAAACCAAACAACUUUUCCUAUUAACUUGAUGCUACUUAUUAAUUCAAAUGAGGAGACUGACUCUGGAUAUUGGGAAAAUUUAUGGGCACAUACAGAGGAAAAGACAUGUGGGGACAUAAUGAGAGGACAGCCAUCUGCAAGCC